GUGUUGGUGGUGUAGUGGUUAACACGCUUGGGCAGAGUGUUGUAUUAUAUUGCGUACACUACGUGGAUUCAAUUUCUGUACAACACAUGAGGUUUCAAGUUCCUCUGCCCAAGAGCCCCCGGUUCGAACCCGUGGCCAACACA
Molecule: non-coding RNA, 143 nt
Organism: Cercophora sp. LCS_1
Lineage: Eukaryota; Fungi; Ascomycota; Sordariomycetes; Sordariales; Lasiosphaeriaceae
Source: the annotation of a GenBank genome assembly